Molecule: ribosomal RNA, 227 nt
Filed under: uncultured bacterium
Lineage: Bacteria
Description: partial 16S ribosomal RNA
Rfam family: Bacterial small subunit ribosomal RNA
Source: RNAcentral
UACGAAGGGGGCUAGCGUUGCUCGGAAUCACUGGGCGUAAAGCGCACGUAGGCCGAUUGUUAAGUCAGGGGUGAAAUCCUGGAGCUCAACUCCAGAACUGCCCUUAUACUGACGGUCUCGAGUCCGGGGAGAGGUGAGUGGAACUGCGAGUGUAGAGGUGAAAUUCGUAGAUAUUUCGCAAGAACACCAGUGGCGAAGGCGGCUCACUGGCCCGGUACUGACGCUGA